UACAGAGGGUGCAAGCGUUAAUCGGAAUUACUGGGCGUAAAGCGUGCGUAGACGGUUAUUUAAGUCAGGUGUGAAAGCCCCGGGCUCAACCUGGGAAUUGCAUUUGAGACUGAAUAGCUAGGGUGCGGAAGAGGGAAGCGGAAUUUCCGGGUGUAGCGGUGGAAUGCGUAGAGAUCCGGAAGAACACCGGUGGCGAAGGCGGUCUGCUGGGCAGUUGCUGACACUGAGGCGCGACAGCGUGGGGAGCAAACAGG
Molecule: ribosomal RNA, 254 nt
Filed under: uncultured bacterium
Lineage: Bacteria
Description: partial 16S ribosomal RNA
Rfam family: Bacterial small subunit ribosomal RNA
Source: RNAcentral